UAUUCACACAUAAAUCACUCUUCCCCUCAAUCCCUCAUUCAUUUGGUAACAAAGGCAGAAGCAGAGAGUGAGAGAGCUUGAGAGAGAGACACAUAGAGAACAAGCAACGCAAGAUGAGGGAGGAGAAGGAGACGCUUUCGCACGACGCUGCAUCUCACUGCCAUUGCUGAAGCUCCCAUCACCACCGUUGCCUCCGAUUAGGGCAGAAAGGAAGAAGAAGAACGAUGAAGGGGAGAGAUUGAUGGAGAGGAGGGUGACGGCCGUUUUUGAUGCCGCCGAUUCUAAAUCUGCCCAGGACCAUCAUCAUCGCCUGUAUCACAAACCAGGGAGGAAGGGGGCUGCCUCUCCUGUUGCUGCUGCUAUCUCAGUUGAAAUUGCUGCGGUUUUAGUAGUGGUCCAACCAAUCAUCACGCUAUAAUUCUGCCUCCAGCCCCUCUUAAUUUUGACUAAGGUAGGGGAUUUUUUUUAAAAGCAGAGGUUUCCAAUUAUGAGUACCAAUAAAAUUAAAUGAGUAACUGGAAAUGGUUUAUGAAUGCUUUGUAUGACUAAUUGAUGAAGUUGGGAAUUGUUGGUGAUAGUGAGUAUAUAUGAAUAUGAUGAAAAUUGAUUUUUGGGUUGUUUGGUGGUGCUAUAAAAGAUAUGAUAGAUAGGAUAUUAAGUUUGUUGCUGUAUGUGCUUGUGAUAAAUGAUGGUUCAUUAUGGAUUGAUGAAUUAUUGUGUGCUCGAAUGAUGAUGAUCGAUGAUUUACUAUGUGUAUGNNN
This 761-nucleotide long non-coding RNA is filed under the name Arachis ipaensis. RNAcentral describes it as "long non-coding RNA (AIPA_LNC002631)". The record is from RNAcentral. Lineage: Eukaryota; Viridiplantae; Streptophyta; Magnoliopsida; Fabales; Fabaceae.